This 1191-nucleotide long non-coding RNA is filed under the name Brassica napus (rape). Its description in RNAcentral is "long non-coding RNA (BNAP_LNC010016)". The record is from RNAcentral. Lineage: Eukaryota; Viridiplantae; Streptophyta; Magnoliopsida; Brassicales; Brassicaceae.
UUUUAUGAUUUUUGUUUGGGUUGCAACCUAUUCUUAUUUUAUACACAAUUAUAAGAAUUAUCAUCGGGGUUUGCUCAUGGGGUUCACCUAUUAUCAGCCGCUAGAUUAGACAAAAUCAAUGGACCAGAGUUCUUGUCUUUCUUCAUCUUUCUGAUUGGAUGUUAUAUUUAUCACGCUGAUCACGAUCUGAGCUAUAGAUUUGAUAAAAUCAACGGACCAAAUCUUUUGGUUUUCUUCCGAUCACUCCCUUCCUUCCUUCCAAUUCCAAACCCUAAAACUAUACCCUAUACCCCAAACCUUUUUCAUAAAUUAUUAAUGUUUGAUAAACAAAUAAGAAUUUUACUUAUGUAAAUUUAUUUAUUUAAAUAUCAUCAAACAUUUUUUUGUAUAAUACUUAUUCUAUAAAACCUUAAUCUUGUAAUUUAUAUCUAAAUAUAAUAUAAUUUCUAUAAUUGAUCAUAUGCAAACCAUUACGAAUGAUAUUUUAUCUACGUGCACUACUUUUAGAAUAAUAUUUUGUGUUAAGUUUUAGAGUUAAGUUUUAUUCCUGAGCAUUUAUUCUUUAUUAAAGACUAUUAUUUAUUUCAAAUACAAAAGCUUUAAUGUUUAGUAUUUGGGAAAAAAUAGAGUUAUUUCUGAAUAUGGAAAUGUGUCAAACACUACAAAGAUGUACCGUGUGAUAAAUAGAUGGUACAUGUACGAUGUAUAUGGUGGUGACAUCAUAGUCGGAUUUCUAAAUUGAUUUUAGUUAUGGGGCGAGUCCGUAAUUAAUAAACAUAAUUUUUUUUUCACAACCUAUUAUCAGUCGCCGGAUAAGACAAAAUCAAUGGGCCAGAGUUCUUGUCUUUCUUCAUCUUUCGUGAUUGGCUGCUACAUUUAUCACGCGGAUCACGAGCUAUAGAUUUGACAAAAUCAACGGACCGGAUCUUUUGGUUUUCUUCCGAACACUCCCUUCCUUUUAUUCUCCAAAUUGUCUAUGUAUUCCUUUCGUUCAAUCCCAAACCCUAAACUAUACCCUAUACCCCAAACAUUUUUUCAUAAAUAAUUAUUGUUAAAUAAACAAAUAAGAAUUUUAAUUAUAUAAAUUUACUUAAAGAACGUCAAACUUUUAAAUUUUUUUUAUAAUACUAUCUCUAUCAAAACUUUGAUCUCGUAAUUUAUGUCAUAAUAUAAUUGUUCAUAUGUAAAAUC